CAGCAGCCACGGUAAUACGGAGGGUGCAAGCGUUAAUCGGAAUUACUGGGCGUAAAGCGCACGCAGGCGGUCUGACAAGUCAGAUGUGAAAUCCCCGGGCUUAACCUGGGAACUGCAUUUGAAACUGUCAGGCUGGAGUCUUGUAGAGGGGGGUAGAAUUCCAGGUGUAGCGGUGAAAUGCGUAGAGAUCUGGAGGAAUACCGGUGGCGAAGGCGGCCCCCUGGACAAAGACUGACGCUCAGGUGCGAAAGCGUGGGGAGCAAACAGGAUUAGAUACCCGGGUAGUCCCUGUCUCUUAGAA
RNAcentral lists this ribosomal RNA (301 nucleotides) under uncultured bacterium. Its description in RNAcentral is "partial 16S ribosomal RNA". It matches the Rfam family "Bacterial small subunit ribosomal RNA", at positions 509 to 809 of the family's 1533-position model. The record is from RNAcentral.